UCUUACGAGCUUUCGCUGCCGAAGCGCAUCCUACAAUAUAUUCUCUUUCAUAUUCUAUUUUGUAAAAUAAAAUUUUCUUAUUUUUUGUUUGUGUAUAAUAAAACAAAAAUUUAUUGGAUAUUAAUUAAAAAAUAAAAAUUAAUUGCAAAAUCUAUAUUUACGUGUAAUUGAAAUUAAAUUAAUGGAAAAUACAAAACAUCAACGAAAGAUCGGUUUCAUUGCACGAGUGAAUUUAUUCGGUGGAAUUUUUAUUUUAAACUACUGUGAAAUGUAAAAUUCGUAUUUCUUCAAGAUGACGAUGAUAAUAAGGAUAAAAAAAAUAAGAUCUUAAUAAAGAUAAAAAUAGAAACGAGAAUGAUUAGAAAAGAAAUUGGUAAACAAUUACAAGCAAUUCGAUCAGAAAUUUAAUUUUCUAAAAUUGGUUAUAAAAAAAAAAAAAAAGUAACAAUGAGUAAAGAGGAAAAUAGUGAUGGUGGUCCUCAAGAAGCUGAUGGAGAAAAUAAAUCUCCGGAAAAUAAUGAAAAUACGGAUAUUUUUGAAAAUCAAACUAGCAAGAAAAUAAUACGUUUAUUCACCGUAAUGGCUUACAUGUUCUCUGUAAGUUUCGUAGCCAUUGCCUUAAGUGCAUAUUAUUUAAUUCUUUGGAAACCUCCAGAUCCAAGGCUUCUACGGAAACCGAUUCAAUUUUUAUCUGAACCCGAAAUGCAAUUCUUAUUAAGCGAUCAAAUAAUUUUAGAAAACGAAUCUGCGAAAGAAUCUAACAACAAACAUUCGCUUUCCGGUCGUACCGGCAAAAAAAAUCUUUUCCAUAAUUACGAUCACAUGAAAACGCCCAAUGAAAAAUUGAAUGAAUCUUUGAUCCUAUUGAGAAACUCUUUGAUUGAAUCUUUACAAAAUAGAAUCAAUGAUUCGAAUUCUUUUGCUCGAGAUUCUCCUCGAGAAAAAUGGACGAAUUCUAAUUUCUUUAAUUACAGUUCGUUUGAAAAAGAAAAUACGUCAAACUUGACGAGAAAAUCAAGCGAAAAAGAUGCAAGACAUUCCUCUAAAAUUAUGAAUCGUAUAUUUAGUAAUAAUGGUACAUCCCAGACAUUGGAAUUUCCGACUAUUCCUGGAGAUGAAGCGAAACGCGAUCAUUUUACAACUGUUAGAAAUUACUCCUUGUAUCUUGAAUCAUCUCGAGAUACUUUUCCAUUGAACGAUUUGACGAAAAAAACUGCUGAAAAUCAAAAGCAAUACAAGAAAAAUGUUCCAUCUAAUUUUAAAACAAGAAUGGAAACAUUUGAUAAAAAAAAAGAAAAAGACAAAAUGACUCGAUAUUUAAGAGAUAAUUCAUUCGAUGAAGGAUUUGUAACGAUAAUGGAUAAAAAAAAUCGUGAUAUUCAAGAAAAUAAAGAAAAUCUUGAAUAUAAUGUGAAACCUGCGAUCAAUUUGAACAGAGUAAUUAGUACAGAUACUUCUAAUAAUUUUGAAUUUGCAAAUCGUUUACAACACGAGCGAUCAUUAAUGAAAUUAGCAGAUUUCGCGUUAAAAUUCAAAGAACAUUUUUCUCUCAACGAAUCCCGUAAAGUUGAGCAACCCUUGAAGCCUGUAAAACGAAGCACAAUGAGUCAAGGUUCUUAGACUUGCGCAGUGAAAGCUCGUUGAUAUCAUUGGACGAACAUAUUUAAUAGUUAUACUAGUAAAUGUUGAUUUAUUAGUCAAAAACGAAAAUAGUAAUAAAACGAUGGAAAUGUCAACAUAAGAAAAUGGAUUACGCAUCCUUGAAAUUUCAUAUUCUUUUUAAUAAAUAAAUUAUCGUGAAGUUUAAAUAUUUUUUUGCAACAUCUAUUAUAUUCGCUUGGGAACGCCCCACUGAAACGCAGGUAGAAAAAAUGACAAAAUCGAUGACAAUAGCGAAUGAACAAAUUUCUUCAUCGGAAAUUAUGAGUACUCCUCAACAA
Molecule: unclassified non-coding RNA, 1940 nt
Filed under: Apis dorsata (giant honeybee)
Lineage: Eukaryota; Metazoa; Arthropoda; Insecta; Hymenoptera; Apidae
Description: uncharacterized protein DDB_G0283697-like, transcript variant X1
Source: RNAcentral